UACGGAGGAUGCGAGCGUUAUCCGGAUUUAUUGGGUUUAAAGGGUGCGUAGGCGGACUGUCAAGUCAGCGGUAAAAUUGAGAGGCUCAACCUCAUCCCGCCGUUGAAACUGGUGGUCUUGAGUGGAUGAGAAGUACGCGGAAUGCGUGGUGUAGCGGUGAAAUGCAUAGAUAUCACGCAGAACUCCGAUUGCGAAGGCAGCGUACCGGCAUCCAACUGACGCUGAGGCACGAAAGCGUGGGGAUCAAACAGG
This 252-nucleotide ribosomal RNA is filed under the name uncultured bacterium. RNAcentral's name for it is "partial 16S ribosomal RNA". It matches the Rfam family "Bacterial small subunit ribosomal RNA", at positions 524 to 776 of the family's 1533-position model. The record is from RNAcentral.